This 497-nucleotide ribosomal RNA is filed under the name uncultured bacterium. RNAcentral describes it as "partial 16S ribosomal RNA". It matches the Rfam family "Bacterial small subunit ribosomal RNA", at positions 28 to 507 of the family's 1533-position model. The record is from RNAcentral.
GACGAACGCUGGCGGCGUGCCUAAUACAUGCAAGUUGAGCGCUGAAGGUUGGUACUUGUACCAACUGGAUGAGCAGCGAACGGGUGAGUAACGCGUGGGGAAUCUGCCUUUGAGCGGGGGACAACAUUUGGAAACGAAUGCUAAUACCGCAUAAAAACUUUAAACACAAGUUUUAAGUUUGAAAGAUGCAAUUGCAUCACUCAAAGAUGAUCCCGCGUUGUAUUAGCUAGUUGGUGAGGUAAAGGCUCACCAAGGCGAUGAUACAUAGCCGACCUGAGAGGGUGAUAGGCCACAGUGGGACUGAGACACGGCCCAAACUCCUACGGGAGGCAGCAGUAGGGAAUCUUCGGCAAUGGACGAAAGUCUGACCGAGCAACGCCGCGUGAGGGAAGAAGGUUGUCGGAUCGUAAAACUCGGUUGGUAGAGAAGAACGUUGGUGAGAGUGGAAAGCUCAUCAAGUGACGGUAACUACCCAGAAAGGGACGGCUAACUACGUG